ACGGAGGAUGCAAGCGUUAUCCGGAUUCAUUGGGUUUAAAGGGUGCGCAGGUGGGAAUGUAAGUCAGUGGUGAAAUACUGCCGCUUAACGGUAGAGCUGCCAUUGAUACUGCGUUUCUUGAGUAUGGUUGAGGUAGGUGGAAUGUGUUGUGUAGCGGUGAAAUGCAUAGAUAUGACACAGAACGCCGAUUGCGAAGGCAACUUACUAAGCCAUUACUGACGCUGAGGCACGAAAGCGUGGGUAGCGAACAGGAUUAGAUACCCUGGUAGUCCACGCCGUAAACGAUGUUCACUCGCUGUUUGCGAUACACAGUAAGCGGCUGAGCGAAAGCAUUAAGUGAACCACCUGGGGAGUACGAUCGCAAGGUUG
RNAcentral lists this ribosomal RNA (369 nucleotides) under uncultured bacterium. Its description in RNAcentral is "bacterial SSU rRNA". It matches the Rfam family "Bacterial small subunit ribosomal RNA", at positions 525 to 896 of the family's 1533-position model. The record is from RNAcentral.